This 433-nucleotide ribosomal RNA is filed under the name uncultured bacterium. RNAcentral's name for it is "partial 16S ribosomal RNA". It matches the Rfam family "Bacterial small subunit ribosomal RNA", at positions 29 to 507 of the family's 1533-position model. The record is from RNAcentral.
AACGAACGCUGGCGGCAUGCCUAACACAUGCAAGUCGAACGAGACCUUCGGGUCUAGUUGCGCACGGGUGCGUAACGCGUGGGAACCUGCCCUUAGGUUCGGAAUAACUCCCCGAAAGGGGUGCUAAUACCGGAUAAUGUCUUCGGACCAAAGAUUUAUCGCCUUUGGAUGGGCCCGCGUUGGAUUAGCUAGUUGGUAGGGUAAAAGCCUACCAAGGCGACGAUCCAUAGCUGGUCUGAGAGGAUGAUCAGCCACACUGGGACUGAGACACGGCCCAGACUACUACGGGAGGCAGCAGUGGGGAAUAUUGGAAAAUGGGCGAAAGCCUGAUCCAGCAAUGCCGCGUGAGUGAUGAAGGCCUUAGGGUUGUAAAGCUCUUUUACCCGGGAUGAUAAUGACAGUACCGGGAGAAUAAGCUCCGGCUAACUCCGUG